UUGAACGCUGGCGGCAGGCCUAACACAUGCAAGUCGAACGGUAACAGGAAGAAGCUUGCUUCUUUGCUGACGAGUGGCGGACGGGUGAGUAAUGUCUGGGAAACUGCCUGAUGGAGGGGGAUAACUACUGGAAACGGUAGCUAAUACCGCAUAACGUCGCAAGACCAAAGAGGGGGACCUUCGGGCCUCUUGCCAUCGGAUGUGCCCAGAUGGGAUUAGCUAGUAGGUGGGGUAACGGCUCACCUAGGCGACGAUCCCUAGCUGGUCUGAGAGGAUGACCAGCCACACUGGAACUGAGACACGGUCCAGACUCCUACGGGAGGCAGCAGUGGGGAAUAUUGCACAAUGGGCGCAAGCCUGAUGCGGCCAUGCCGCGUGUAUGAAGAAGGCCUUCGGGUUGUAAAGUACUUUCAGCGGGGAGGAAGGGAGUAAAGUUAAUACCUUUGCUCAUUGACGUUACCCGCAGAAGAAGCACCGGCUAACUCCGUG
Molecule: ribosomal RNA, 489 nt
Filed under: uncultured bacterium
Lineage: Bacteria
Description: partial 16S ribosomal RNA
Rfam family: Bacterial small subunit ribosomal RNA
Source: RNAcentral